Molecule: long non-coding RNA, 284 nt
Filed under: Carica papaya (papaya)
Lineage: Eukaryota; Viridiplantae; Streptophyta; Magnoliopsida; Brassicales; Caricaceae
Description: long non-coding RNA (CPAP_LNC010776)
Source: RNAcentral
UAUGCAAAAAGUGGUUAGGGUUAAAAAUAAUCUCCCUGUAGGCAAGUAGAAUCGAACUUCCCUUUUCACAAAAGAUAUUUCUUAAUAUUUUGUCUCUAUCAUUAGGACACUUCCUUGUGUUCUCCCUUUGCUUUUCUCGUAAUGGACCAUCUUUAGCUAUCUGCUAGGAAACCUUUAUGCUCAAUGGGCCAUUGACUUUCUCUACGGUUUACCUUCUCUCUUCUACCCUUCUUUAGUAUUCAUCAAAUGACCAUUUAAUUUUGAUAUGAUCUUCAUGUGACUCU